RNAcentral lists this microRNA (20 nucleotides) under Glycine max (soybean). Its description in RNAcentral is "gma-miR4416a". Lineage: Eukaryota; Viridiplantae; Streptophyta; Magnoliopsida; Fabales; Fabaceae. The record is from miRBase by way of RNAcentral.
ACGGGUCGCUCUCACCUAGG